This 221-nucleotide unclassified non-coding RNA is filed under the name Hevea brasiliensis (rubber tree). The record is from RNAcentral. Lineage: Eukaryota; Viridiplantae; Streptophyta; Magnoliopsida; Malpighiales; Euphorbiaceae.
GGAUCUCCAUCGGUGAGAGACGCUUAAUGGGCAGUCGAUUGCAGUUAACAUUAUGUGGGUAAGGACUGGGGUUUGGUAGAAGAGGUGGAGAAUUUGUGAAGGCCGGUUUAAACGAUCCAUUCCGCUCCAACAAAAGUCGUUGUUCAUGAGUAUGGGCCAAUUCAAAAGCUUCAUCCAAUGUUUUUGGUUUAUGGACCAGAACAACGGUUUGAAUAUCUGCG